GUUACAAAAACGAAAUUACUGUUUGGUUCGUUAAAAAAAAUAUACAGAGAAUUUAGGUUUCAGAGAAGCGGAAAUGGUUUCGGUGGCGCAGGAAGCUCAGCGUGCGCUUAAUAUCCAGCCUCCAAAGAUUAAACUGAAGGCUCGACGAUUGAAAGGUCACAAAGACAGCACUAACUGCUGCAUUGCCUCUUCUCAAAACCCUCGUCUUAUUGUCACCUCUUCACUUUCUCAUAACCCUAAAAAUAACAUAAAUUACAACAAAUCUCGUAACCGUUUCAUCUUCUUCAAACAACCUCGGACAUGUUCCAAAUUCGAUUUUUAUUCUCGUGCUACUGUCGCUCGCAACGCCAAAAUUUGUAACUUCUGUCAAAUGGGUAAUCUCAGAAACGCCAUGGAAUUGCUCACAACGUCACAAAGACAUGAACUUGUGUUGAGUACUUAUUGUUCCGUUUUGCAGCUUUGUGCUGAGAAGAACUCUUUGGAAGAUGGAAAAAAGGUUCAUUCCGUUAUCAUUUCAAAUGGGAUGGUAAUUGAUGAGGUUUUAGGGGCUAAAUUAGUUUUCAUGUAUGUGAAUUGUGGUGAUUUGGUUAAUGGAAGAAGGAUAUUUGAUGAGAUUCUUAAUGAUAAGGUUUUUCUUUGGAAUCUUAUGAUGUCUGAAUAUGCAAAGAUUGGUAGUUAUAGAGAAAGUGUGAGUCUUUUUAUGAAAAUGCAGAAGAUGGGAGUUUCAGGGGAUUCUUAUACGUUUACUUGUGUGUUGAAGUGUUUUGCUGCAUUGGGAAAGGUUAAGGAGUUUAAAAAGGUUCAUGGGUAUAUUUUGAAACUUGGUUUUGGUUCUAAUACUGCUGUUGUUAACUCGAUGAUUGCAGCUUAUUUUAAAUUCGGCCAAGUUGAGAGUGCACGUAAUCUGUUUGAUGAGUUGGCUGAUAGAGAUAUAGUUUCAUGGAAUUCUCUGAUAAAUGGAUGUGUUGUGAAUGGAUUUUCCAAAAAUGGAGUUGAGAUUUUCAUUCAGAUACUGGUUAUGGGGGUUAAUUGGGAUUUGACCACAUUGGUUAGUGUUCUUGUGGCUUCUGCAAAUAUUGGCAACCUUUCAUUUGGUAGAUCUCUUCAUGCUUUUGGGGUGAAAGCUUGUUUUGGUAAGGAAGUUGUGUUUAGCAAUACCUUACUUGACAUGUAUUCAAAAUGUGGUAAUUUAAAUAGUGCAACUGAAGUUUUUGCGAAGAUGGGUGACACAACUAUUGUUUCUUGGACUUCAAUCAUUGCUGCUUAUGUACGAGAAGGUCGAUACGAUGAUGCUAUUGUAUUAUUUGAUGAAAUGCAAAGCAAGGGUGUUAGGCCUGAUAUCUAUACUGUCACAAGCAUUGUUCAUGCUUGUGCUUGUAGCAAUGCUUUGGAUAAAGGAAGGGAUGUGCACAGUUACAUUAUAAAGAAUGGCAUGGGAUCAAAUUCGCCUGUCGCUAAUGCUCUCAUGAACAUGUAUGCAAAAUGUGGAAGUGUGGAAGAAGCUCGGUUAGUUUUCUCUCAAAUUCUAGCUAAGGACAUUGUUUCGUGGAAUACAAUGAUUGGAGGUUAUUCGCAAAAUUCACUUCCCAAUGAAGCUCUAGAACUUUUUUCGGACAUGCAAAAACAGUUAAAACCAGACGACAUUACAAUGGCUUGCGUCCUUCCAGCUUGUGCAGGCUUAGCAGCUCUAGACAAAGGAAGAGAGAUACAUGGACACAUAUUAAGAAGAGGGUACUUUUCAGAUUUGCAUGUGGCGUGUGCACUUGUUGAUAUGUAUGCCAAAUGUGGGUUACUUGUUCUAGCACAGUUGCUUUUUGAUAUGAUUCCUAAAAAGGAUCUGAUUUCAUGGACUGUUAUGAUAGCUGGAUAUGGCAUGCACGGAUUUGGGAAUGAGGCGAUUUCCACAUUCAAGAAGAUGAGGAUUGCGGGCAUCGAGCCUGACGAGUCCUCUUUUGCCGCCAUACUUAAUGCUUGCUGUCAUUCUGGAUUACUGCACGAGGGUUGGCGAUUCUUUAACUUUAUGAGAAAUGAAUACGGUAUUGAACCGAAGUUAGAUCACUAUGCCUGCAUGGUGGAUCUCCUUUCCCGCGCUGGAAAUCUAUCACAGGCGUACAAGUUCAUCAUGUCCAUGCCAAUUGAACCAGAUGCUACAAUUUGGGGUGCAUUGCUUUCAGGAUGCAGGAUUCAUCAUGAUGUGAAGCUAGCAGAAAAAGUGGCAGAAAAUCUUUUUGAGCUAGAGCCAGACAACACAAGGUAUUAUGUUGUUCUAGCGAAUGUCUACGCAGAGGCGGAAAAGUGGGAGGAAGUGAAAAAGUUGCAAGAAAAGAUGCGUAAAAGAAGAUUCGAACAGAAUCCAGGUUGUAGUUGGAUAGAGUUCGGAGGAAAGUUUAAUAUCUUUGUCGCUGGGAACACUAAACACCCUCAAGCAAAAAGGAUAGACGUGUUGCUGAGAAAAUUGAGUUUGCAAAUGAAGAAUGGAGAAUACUCUACUAAGUUGAGGUAUGCAUUGAUUAAUGAAGAUGAUAUGGAGAAGGAAGUGAUUCAGUGUGGACACAGUGAAAAGUUAGCAAUGGCGUUUGGUAUAUUAAAUUUGCCGCCUGGGAGAACCGUUAGGGUCACGAAGAAUCGAAGAGUAUGCGGGGAUUGUCACGAGAUGGGGAAGUUCAUGUCCAAGACAACCAAUAGUGAAAUUUUAUUGAGAGAUUCAAACCGGUUUCACCAUUUCAAGGAUGGUAUAUGUUCUUGCCGAGGUUUCUGGUAAAUCAUUGGAAGAAUUCAAUAGUGUACAUAUUUUCCAAUCACAUUUCUGCUACUGGUGUUACAUGCAACUCAAGGUCCUCAUUUCUUGCUGCAGCAGAUGAUAGUGGCGAGGUGAAGAUAAUUGACAUAAAGCAGCAUUGCCUUUACAAAAAUUGAGAGCCGAAACUGGUCAUACAAGU
This is an RNA transcript of Lathyrus oleraceus (garden pea), 2939 nucleotides long. It is a transcript of the gene named pentatricopeptide repeat-containing protein DOT4, chloroplastic, with no coding region annotated. The transcript is spliced from 3 exons. Lineage: Eukaryota; Viridiplantae; Streptophyta; Magnoliopsida; Fabales; Fabaceae. The record is from RefSeq and is a predicted model, not a curated record.